RNAcentral lists this ribosomal RNA (253 nucleotides) under uncultured bacterium. Its description in RNAcentral is "partial 16S ribosomal RNA". It matches the Rfam family "Bacterial small subunit ribosomal RNA", at positions 524 to 776 of the family's 1533-position model. The record is from RNAcentral.
UACGUAGGGGGCAAGCGUCGUCCGGAUUUAUUGGGCGUAAAGAGCGUGUAGGCGGCCAAGCAGGUCAGCUGUGAAAACUCGAGGCUCAACCUCGAGACGUCGGUUGAAACCGCUUGGCUAGAGUCCGGAAGAGGAGAGUGGAAUUCCCGGUGUAGCGGUGAAAUGCGCAGAUAUCGGGAAGAACACCCGUGGCGAAGGCGGCUCUCUGGGACGGUACUGACGCUGAGACGCGAAAGCGUGGGGAGCGAACAGG